RNAcentral lists this long non-coding RNA (349 nucleotides) under Medicago truncatula (barrel medic). RNAcentral's name for it is "lncRNA gene33827". The record is from RNAcentral. Lineage: Eukaryota; Viridiplantae; Streptophyta; Magnoliopsida; Fabales; Fabaceae.
UGGUUUCUUUAAAAAAUAUAUAUUAUAGUCAUUGUUCUAUUUGCUUUGAUUUUCUAUCUUUAGGCGGUAUCUUUUUUAUUUAUUUUUUUGUCUUAGUGUCGUGUUUGAUUUAGGUUGAAAGAUUAAUUUUGAUCAAGUGUAAAUUCAAACAAUGAUUUUGACGUUGUCAAUAUUACAGAUCUGAAGACAUGAAUAUUCUAGAGACUUAAAUAUAAUCAUAUUUAAGGCAUAUGUAUUAUAUUGUUUUAUGCUAUUAACAUACAUUUUGUUAUUAUUUGCACAUUUAUCCCUUUUAUUUUUGGCGACUUUAAAUUUAUAUUAUAUUGAUAUACUUUAUCGAUUUGAAUAG